RNAcentral lists this ribosomal RNA (242 nucleotides) under uncultured bacterium. RNAcentral's name for it is "partial 16S ribosomal RNA". It matches the Rfam family "Bacterial small subunit ribosomal RNA", at positions 65 to 334 of the family's 1533-position model. The record is from RNAcentral.
AACGAGAUCUUCGGGUCUAGUGGCGCACGGGUGCGUAACGCGUGGGAAUCUGCCCUUGGGUUCGGAAUAACGUCGGGAAACUGACGCUAAUACCGGAUGAUGACGUAAGUCCAAAGAUUUAUCGCCCAGGGAUGAGCCCCGCGUAGGAUUAGCUAGUUGGUGUGGUAAGAGCACACCAAGGCGACGAUCCUUAGCUGGUCUGAGAGGAUGAUCAGCCACACUGGGACUGAGACACGGCCCAG